This 73-nucleotide ribozyme is filed under the name unclassified sequences. RNAcentral's name for it is "HDV ribozyme from F. prausnitzii". It matches the Rfam family "HDV ribozyme from F. prausnitzii". The record is from RNAcentral.
GCUGCUCAAAUCUUCACACACCUCUUCGUGGUGAGCAGCAGGCAACGGUCUUAUGACUGGCUGAGAUGUGAAA